AAAGCAACUCAGACAGCCGAGCUCUUUCUUCUCUCUCUUGUCGUCCCUCUCCUACCCUCACACUCUUAAAUUUUUCCUUCAACAAGAAAGACUCAUUGUUGGAAAAAUAACAAUUUUAAAUAACAUGUUAAAAUAGGUAAUUAAGUACUAUAAUUUAGUUGUAUUCUCCUUUCAUUAGAAGUUUAUUAUACAUACAUAAAUACACACGCAUACACACAUACACACUCUAAGAAUACUAUACAAGAAGCUGGAACGUAGAGUUUUUCGCGUAGCCGUCGGGCCCAUCUCCUCCUUUCAUUGAAAAUGCUUCUGAGAAUGUACUGGAUUCAGUUCAUCGCUGCUACUUGACACCAAUCAAAGACAAAGAUCAUACUGGACCUUGGAGUUUAAAAUUGGAUUGGCAGAGAUAUGUAAGGUAAGAUUUGUAAUUCGUAUAUAAGAAUAGAUUAGAUAAUCUACUUUAUUAUGAAUUCAUAAUUCAUCAUGUUCAGUUAUGUUUAUCUCAUAUUGACACAACAAACAACAAAUUAAAUUCAAAUAUAUUUCAAUUCGUCACAAGCCAUCUGAACCAGGCUACCAAACAUGUAGAAGAAAGUAGAAUUGAAAAAGUCCAUGGUGGUGAUGCAAUUUCAAACCAAUUAUUCAA
Molecule: long non-coding RNA, 646 nt
Organism: Pyrus x bretschneideri (Chinese white pear)
Lineage: Eukaryota; Viridiplantae; Streptophyta; Magnoliopsida; Rosales; Rosaceae
Exons: 2
Source: RefSeq, a predicted model, not a curated record